CGCGGCCUAUCAGCUUGUUGGUGGGUAAUGGCCUACCAAGGCGACGACGGGUAGCCGACCUGAGAGGGUGACCGGCCACACUGGGACUGAGACACGGCCCAGACUCCUACGGGAGGCAGCAGUGGGGAAUAUUGCACAAUGGGCGAAAGCCUGAUGCAGCGACGCCGCGUGAGGGAUGACGGCCUUCGGGUUGUAAACCUCUUUCAGCAGGGAACGAAGCGCAAGUGACGGUACCUGCAGAAAAGCACCGGCUAACUACGUGCCAGCAGCCGCGGUAAUACGUAGGGUGCAAGCGUUGUCCGGAAUUACUGGGCGUAAAGAGUUCGUAGGCGGUUUUCCGUCGUUUGUGAAAACCAGCAGCUCAACUGCUGGCUUGCAGGCGAUACGGGCAGACUUGAGUACUGCAGGGGAGACUGGAAUUCCUGGUGUAGCGGUGAAAUGCGCAGAUAUCAGGAGGAACACCGGUGGCGAAGGCGGGUCUCUGGGCAGUAACUGACGCUGAGGAACGAAAGCGUGGGUAGCGAACAGGAUUAGAUACCCUGGUAGUCCACGCCGUAAACGGUGGGCGCUAGGUGUGGGUUCCUUCCACGGAAUCCGAGCUAACGCAUUAAGCGCCCCGCCU
Molecule: ribosomal RNA, 622 nt
Filed under: Rhodococcus erythropolis
Lineage: Bacteria; Bacillati; Actinomycetota; Actinomycetes; Mycobacteriales; Nocardiaceae
Description: bacterial SSU rRNA
Rfam family: Bacterial small subunit ribosomal RNA
Source: RNAcentral